GACGGUACCUACAAAGAAGCACCGGCUAACUAUGUGCCAGCAGCCGCGGUAAUACAUAGGGUGCAAGCGUUGUCCGGAAUUAUUGGGCGUAAAGAGCUCGUAGGUCGUUUGUUACGUCGGAUGUGAAAACCUGAGGCUCAACCUCAGGCCUGCAUUCGAUACGGGCAAACUAGAGUUUGGUAGGGGAGACUGGAAUUCCUGGUGUAGCGGUGGAAUGCGCAGAUAUCAGGAGGAACACCAAUGGCGAAGGCAGGUCUCUGGGCCAAUACUGACACUGAGGAGCGAAAGUCUGGGGAGCGAACAGGAUUAGAUACCCUGGUAGUCCAGACCGUAAACGGUGGGCACUAGUUGUGGGAACCUUCCACGGUUUCUGCGACGCAGCUAACGCAUUAAGUGCCCCGCCGGGGGAGUACGAUCGCAAGAUUAAAACUC
RNAcentral lists this ribosomal RNA (432 nucleotides) under uncultured bacterium. Its description in RNAcentral is "bacterial SSU rRNA". It matches the Rfam family "Bacterial small subunit ribosomal RNA", at positions 471 to 902 of the family's 1533-position model. The record is from RNAcentral.